AUUGAACGCUGGCGGCAUGCUUUACACAUGCAAGUCGAACGGUAACAGGCCUUCGGGUGCUGACGAGUGGCGAACGGGUGAGUAAUGCAUCGGAACGUACCCAGAGGUGGGGGAUAACGCAGCGAAAGCUGUGCUAAUACCGCAUGUGAUCUGAGGAUGAAAGCGGGGGACCGAGCAGCAAUGUUUGGCCUCGCGCCUUUGGAGCGGCCGAUGUCGGAUUAGCUAGUUGGUGGGGUAAGGCCUACCAAGGCGACGAUCCGUAGCUGGUCUGAGAGGACGAACAGCCACACUGGGACUGAGACACGGCCCAGACUCCUACGGGAGGCAGCAGUGGGGAAUUUUGGACAAUGGGCGCAAGCCUGAUCCAGCAAUGCCGCGUGCGGGAAGAAGGCCUUCGGGUUGUAAACCGCUUUUGGCAGGAACGAAACGGUGUCCGCUAAUACCGGGCGCUAAUGACGGUACCUGAAGAAUAAGCACCGGCUAACUACGUG
This 491-nucleotide ribosomal RNA is filed under the name uncultured bacterium. RNAcentral describes it as "partial 16S ribosomal RNA". It matches the Rfam family "Bacterial small subunit ribosomal RNA", at positions 29 to 507 of the family's 1533-position model. The record is from RNAcentral.